RNAcentral lists this ribosomal RNA (374 nucleotides) under uncultured prokaryote. RNAcentral's name for it is "bacterial SSU rRNA". It matches the Rfam family "Bacterial small subunit ribosomal RNA", at positions 524 to 896 of the family's 1533-position model. The record is from RNAcentral.
UACGGAGGGUGCGAGCGUUAAUCGGAAUUACUGGGCGUAAAGCGCGCGUAGGCGGUUUGGUCAGUCGAUUGUGAAAGCCCUGGGCUUAACCUGGGAAUUGCAGUCGAUACUGCCUGACUAGAAUGUGGAAGAGGGAAGUGGAAUUUCCGGUGUAGCGGUGAAAUGCGUAGAUAUCGGAAGGAACACCAGUGGCGAAGGCGGCUUCCUGGUCCAACAUUGACGCUGAGGUGCGAAAGCGUGGGGAGCGAACAGGAUUAGAUACCCUGGUAGUCCACGCCGUAAACGAUGAGAACUAGAUGUCGGGAGGGUUUAGCCUCUCGGUGUCGCAGCUAACGCGUUAAGUUCUCCGCCUGGGGAGUACGCCGGCAACGGUA